Molecule: ribosomal RNA, 495 nt
Filed under: uncultured bacterium
Lineage: Bacteria
Description: bacterial SSU rRNA
Rfam family: Bacterial small subunit ribosomal RNA
Source: RNAcentral
UAUCGCGACGAGUUUGACUCCGUGGCUCAGGACGACGCUGGCGGCGUGCCUAACACAUGCAAGUCGAACGGGGUGGAACCCUUCGGGGAACCACUUAGUGGCGAACGGGUGAGUAACGCGUGAGGAACCUGCCUUUCAGUGGGGGACAACAGUUGGAAACGACUGCUAAUACCGCACAACAUAUUCGGACCGCAUGAUCUGAAUAUCAAAGCUUUAUGUGCUGAAAGAUGGCCUCGCGUCUGAUUAGCUAGUUGGUGGGGGUAACGGCCCACCAAGGCGACGAUCAGUAGCCGGUCUGAGAGGAUGAACGGCCACAUUGGGACUGAGAUACGGCCCAGACUCCUACGGGAGGCAGCAGUGGGGAAUAUUGGGCAAUGGGGGAAACCCUGACCCAGCAACGCCGCGUGAAGGAAGAAGGCCUUCGGGUUGUAAACUUCUUUUACCAGGGACGAAGACGUGACGGUACCUGGAGAAAAAGCAACGGCUAACUACGUG